CAGCAGCCGCGGGAAUACGAAGGGGGCUAGCGUUGCUCGGAAUGACUGGGCGUAAAGGGCGCGUAGGCGGUUCGUACAGUUGGAUGUGAAAUUCCUGGGCUUAACCUGGGGGCUGCAUUCAAUACGUGCGGGCUUGAGUGUGGAAGAGGGUUGUGGAAUUCCCAGUGUAGAGGUGAAAUUCGUAGAUAUUGGGAAGAACACCGGUGGCGAAGGCGGCAACCUGGUCCAUAACUGACGCUGUGGCGCGAAAGCGUGGGGAGCAAACAGGAUUAGAUACCCGCGUAGUCCAUGUCUCUUAUAC
This 301-nucleotide ribosomal RNA is filed under the name uncultured bacterium. RNAcentral describes it as "partial 16S ribosomal RNA". It matches the Rfam family "Bacterial small subunit ribosomal RNA", at positions 509 to 807 of the family's 1533-position model. The record is from RNAcentral.